This 374-nucleotide ribosomal RNA is filed under the name uncultured bacterium. RNAcentral's name for it is "bacterial SSU rRNA". It matches the Rfam family "Bacterial small subunit ribosomal RNA", at positions 524 to 898 of the family's 1533-position model. The record is from RNAcentral.
UACGUAGGGGGCAAGCGUUGUCCGGAAUCACUGGGCGUAAAGCGCGCGCAGGCGGCUGUCUACGUCCGGGGUGAAAGCCCAGAGCUCAACUCUGGGACUGCCUUGGAUACGGGAUGGCUUGAGGAUCGGAGAGGCAAGGGGAAUUCCACGUGUAGCGGUGAAAUGCGUAGAGAUGUGGAGGAACACCUGUGGCGAAGGCGCCUUGCUGGCCGAUUUCUGACGCUGAGGCGCGAAAGCGUGGGGAGCAAACAGGAUUAGAUACCCUGGUAGUCCACGCCGUAAACGAUGAGUGCUAGGUGUUGGGGGGUACCACCCUCAGUGCCGAAGCUAACGCAUUAAGCACUCCGCCUGGGGAGUACGGUCGCAAGACUGAA